Molecule: long non-coding RNA, 1582 nt
Organism: Arachis stenosperma
Lineage: Eukaryota; Viridiplantae; Streptophyta; Magnoliopsida; Fabales; Fabaceae
Exons: 4
Source: RefSeq, a predicted model, not a curated record
UUGUUUCUUUUUCUUCAUCGAUGUCCUUGGCUCCCUCAUUCCUUCUCUCAUACCAAAGCACCAAAUAAUAAAACCCUAGCUGCUUCUCCAAUCUCCCCGUCGUUGUGCCCUCUGUCUUCAUGUGUCACUAUCGUCAUCUCACUUGUUAUCGUCUCACUUACUGAUAUGCGGCUCUAAUUGCUCCCAUCUUCAGCAAGGAGUGAACAUAUUUUUCAGAGCGGUCUCCUCUCUUGAUAAUGGUAGCAAGGGCAUGAACACAAGAAAGACCUGUGAGUUGCCAAUUGUUGUAUGUGCACUUAUUUUGGCCUAAGUGUACGGAUAGCUUCUUAGAUCUCUGUUGAUCCUCAAAAAUUUUGCGCUCAUCAUCACCAACCCAAAUUGAAAACCAAUACCUAACAGCCUUCGCAAAAUCGUCAAGUCUCUUCUGUUGCACAGGUGCUAAGUCAGUGCUCGUGUGUGUUGAUAAAACCAUCUUAUACUUGGUCAUCCUCCUCAUAAUGAAGCAUCGUAGUUCUUCGCAAAUUGUGAGUAUUGGUUUCGAGCGAUAAUUGACGAUCUUCACGUUCCAAAGGUUGUCUGCUUUCGGACUAAGAGAAAAGUGAGCCUUAACCCUAAGCACUUCUGCUUCGAAUUCUGCUUCUAUCUCUUUCUCUGCAGCUUCUCAGAGCCCUACGAAAUCAAAGUGAAGAAAGAAGAACUUGUUCGAGCUCGCUCAGUUCCUACCUAACUGGGGAAUCGGAUACCACAUGACCAAGACUCGCUGGAAAGAAGUUUCUUAUGAAAUCACCAAAAUCAAUCUCUACAAGGAUGAAAGACAUGGCAAGGCAUAGGAAAUUACUUUUAAAAAUGGUGAGGUAGGGAGCAAUCAUGAUGAUUCCAUUGUUGAUUUUAUCAAAGGAAAAAUGAAUUCAAAGGAAGCUGCACAAAUUCCCAGAAGAACUACAAGGUCUUUAACUUCAUCUUCUGCACAAAAUUUUGCUUCAUCUUUAGUUAAAUUUUGUUUGUUUUCUAUUUUUUUUUUGUCUUUAGUUUCAUCCUAUGUUACUAUUAGUUAACUGGUUUCAAUUUCAUUCCUUGGGUUUGAGUUUCUUCUCCAAAAUCCCUAGUUGAAUCAUGGAUAAGAGCAUGUUAGCUGGUUUAGAAUCACUUCUAGAAGCUGAUCAACAAAGAAUGGCAUCCAUGAUAGAAUAGGUUUAAAUUUGUGACAGAUUCAAGUUGCAUUUUGAACGGACGAAAUUAGGAGAACUCCUCCAACACCACAAGAUGAGAUGAGAGCAAGAAUGAGCUACUUACACGAUAAAUGAAGAAUAUAGGGAUAAAUGAGCGGGUAAUCAAAUAGCGAGUGACUCCUGAAGUGAUAAGGGAUGUUUCUUUACUAGCUAGAAUGAUGGCUGCUAAUUUGUAUUAUUCCCAGAUAAAAGAUCUUAUGUUUGAAGUAAUUUAUUUUUAGAGAAAUAAAUUUUAUUUUUAGAGAAAUAAUUUAUUAUUCCCAAAUAGAAGAUUUUAUGGCUACUAAUUUAUUAUGGCAACCUAAAUCUUGUUUAAGGAUAAUUUUUAUUAUUUAAAAAAUAAUUACAUAGUA